RNAcentral lists this long non-coding RNA (2339 nucleotides) under Fragaria vesca (wild strawberry). RNAcentral describes it as "long non-coding RNA (FVES_LNC002646)". Lineage: Eukaryota; Viridiplantae; Streptophyta; Magnoliopsida; Rosales; Rosaceae. The record is from RNAcentral.
UGCAAGAGGUUUAGACAUCCUUUGUUCAAAGCCUUUGGAGUCCCACUUAAGUGAAAACUCUGAUGCUAUGUCUUUCAUCAACUGAACCUUCUUCUCAAUUCUGGGAGGUUGGGAAGCUAUAUUCUCAACAAACUAUUAAGUAGAAAUUCAGUUAGUCAGCUGAAUAAUAACAAAAAAGAAAAAAGAAAAAGAUAAUGCACUGAAGAGACGCAUCUUUCAAUCAAGUAGAAGGAAACGAACAUAACAUGAAUAAUAAACGAAAACCCUUGGACACAGAAAUGGACUUCAAGCGACCAAAAUCAAACCUUACAAAAAACAAAGUAGUAUUUAUAAGAUCAAAUGCAAAAUCCACCAGACAAUGUAAAUUUAAUGACAACCCACUGAAAGUUAAACUUUGCCUACAGAACACUCAUUCAAUCACAUUGCACUCAACAUCAGAACACAAUAAUAAUAAACUAGAAAACGAAAAACACUAACAAAAUCAAAUUUAACACCACAAACACAUAUUUCAAUGCCCACGAUCCAAAAUUGGAAACUGAAGUGUCAAGGCAAAUGAUCUAGUGAUAACCUGUGAAAUUUUAUAUAAAUUAACUGAGGUAUAUUCAAAUUUACACAGAAAACAGAAGUGAGUUGAAAAUAAUCUAUAUAAUUUUUACUUGUGAGUGAUACGUCGAAUGGCUAGCUGUUAUACAAAAAUUUCUCCUUUAUCUCCUCACAUGUUAUACUUUACGUUGAACAGUAUAUUGUUCAUUGCAAAGAAAAUUUCCAAAUUAGGAGAGAUGGGGUUUCAACAAAUAGAGCUAAAUAUGUUUUGGUACUAUAGCUAUUGCCGUAAAAUUGAUAUAAGCUGUAACCAAUAUCAGAUUCUAAUUCAGUCGAUUUAAUAUCCUGAUUUAUUGAUUGAAUGCUCUUGAAAAGAGUAAUUGAAUGCUCUGAACAGUAUGCUCUUGAAAAAGGACUGUUAUUCUGUGACUUCUAUCCUGUGUGAAGUAGUGAUUUGUUCCAUGUUUAUUCUUAUGUUUUGCAAAAUCGUGCACAAUCCAUGGCUAUACAUAUAUGUAUGUGUGCAUACAGAGUAAAAUACUUUGUAUCUUUGAGAAAGAAAUUUUGCCACAACUUCAUAACUCAAAACAUGCAAUAUUGAAGAGUUCAAAAAAUAGAAAAAGUAAUUUAUAAGAAUUCCGAAUUAUCUUUAUAGAAAGCCUUGAUAGAAGACAUGAGAAUACCAGUACAUUUAGGUUCUGCUUUAAAUACCUAUACGAUAACCGUCAUUUGAAUCAGUUCUCUCCAGGAAUUAACCCUGACGCACCCAAUUCUUCCUAUAACACCCCAUGAAUUAGAGGGAUUCAAUAAAGCCAAACAGUUGGGGCUUGGUAACACACAUGAUAUACAAAAAGGUUAUGAAACUGAAAAUUGGGCCGUUAGCCUAAGAAGAUAAGAAGAUUAUAAAUCCAUGGUCCUCCUUAGCGAAAUGUUCAACCAUAUGUGGUUCUACACAUAGUCUAAGUUGCUCAUAUACACAACUAUUUUGCAACAAACAGACAAUAAUGAGGUCUGUUUUUUUUAGUUAUGGCUAAUCCAAACUCAUUAUUAUGAUUAGUGAGAGAUCAAGAAUAACACCAGGCAAAGCUCAUCAAAAGCAAAUGCCCCUGCCCUCUUGUCCUCUUCACCACAAUUUCAAUAACUGAUACGGUAUAACUAUCAUAUGAAAAAUAAUAACAACAUGAAAACCCAUAAUGAAAGAAGAAUAACAACAUGAAAACCCAUAUGAAUCCAUAAUAAUAAUAAUAAUAAAUAAAUAAACCACAGCAAAGCUCAAGAUCAAUACUUAACUCUUAUAUCACGCAUGAAGACUGAAGCCUCCUUCACUUGGCUCACCAUGGCUUGAAAGAAAAAUUAAAGUACAUGGAGAUAACGUUGUCAUUAAGGUCCUUCAACAUUGAUAACCUCACCUUUGGUCAAUGUUGGUUGUUUGCACAGAACCAAUAUGCCGAGUAAGAACUACACCACCAGUAAUGGGACUAAUAAGCACAUUAGCCUGUCAAGCAAGAAUUUGUAAAAAUUAAGGCUGUUUGAAAGUAAAAUAAAUGUACUCAUGUAUAAUAAUUUCAUUAGACUGAAAUCAUAGCAUUCAUCCGAAAACCCACUACCCAGAUUCGUACCCUUCCUCCCCAAAUCAAAACCCAAUAAUCUCUCAUAUUGCCUUUCACGAUUUCCUGCAGAAGAGCAACCCAAACCCUUCACUCUCCAUUUGCAAGUCCAACAGACAAUCAUGAUCUGCCAUGUACAUUCCUGAAAACAAAAACAAAAGGCAAAAAAGGGCAAACCAAGCACAAACG